Molecule: transfer RNA, 73 nt
Filed under: Ovis aries (sheep)
Lineage: Eukaryota; Metazoa; Chordata; Mammalia; Artiodactyla; Bovidae
Rfam family: tRNA
About the family: Transfer RNA (tRNA) molecules are approximately 80 nucleotides in length. Their secondary structure includes four short double-helical elements and three loops (D, anti-codon, and T loops).
Source: Rfam by way of RNAcentral
UCCUUGGUGGUCCAUUGGUUAAGACUCUACACUUCCAAUGCAGGUGGUGCAGGUUUGAUCCCUGGUUGGGGAA